AAGUCGUAACAAGGUUUCCGUAGGUGAACCUGCGGAAGGAUCAUUAAAGAGAUAUCAAACCGACACUGUGCACCAAAAUAAAAGCCAAAAUAAAAGAUAGUAUAAGAAAUAAUUGUACAACUUUUAGCAACGGAUCUCUAGGUUCUC
RNAcentral lists this unclassified non-coding RNA (147 nucleotides) under fungal sp. Its description in RNAcentral is "partial internal transcribed spacer region". The stretch from base 1 to 46 matches the Rfam family "Eukaryotic small subunit ribosomal RNA", at positions 1786 to 1831 of the family's 1831-position model. Lineage: Eukaryota; Fungi. The record is from RNAcentral.